This 1211-nucleotide long non-coding RNA is filed under the name Homo sapiens (human). Its description in RNAcentral is "HSALNT0234351". Lineage: Eukaryota; Metazoa; Chordata; Mammalia; Primates; Hominidae. The record is from RNAcentral.
UUUUAGUGUCUCUGUGAAUGAACACUUUCAAAAUUUCCCCAGGUUCUAGUCAAAGGUAGAGACUCCUGGUGAUUAUUUUUAUAUUUCCAUGUCUCAAAGUGGCUUCUUUUAUUAAGAUUCCCAAGAAUAAGACUUAUGAUUUAUCUUCAUGACAUAUUAACAGCCAGUCAUACCAAAUACAUUUUUCUUUCUUAUGUACCCGAAAGUAUAUUCUUGCUGUCAGCCUUUGGGGUACCAUGAAUUUCAAAAAGUUCUCUGGCGUUUUUGCUAAACAUGGAACAUUUUUUAGCUUUGUGAGUUAUCAAAAUAGUUAGAGGUUCUGGAGAGAAAAAGAAACAGAAAUGAAGUCAGAAUGGUGUCUUAUCAGUAAGAAAUAAGAAAAUGUGCAAUUCAUCCUGUGACCUUCAUUUAUAAAAUGACUGAAAUGGACUAAUGUUUAUGGGGAAUCCUGUGAAUGAGCUAACACAAUUUGUAGUUGACCAAAAUUGGACUCAGUGGCCAUACCUGCUAUUUCGAAUAUAAAAGAGAGUUCAUGUUUCACAUUAAAAAUUAUUUUCAAGGCAGUGUCAUUUUGGAAAGAAAUGAAAUUAUUUGAAUUUCACAGGGUCCUUUAGUGUUUAUCUCUUGGACUUCACUUCUUGGAUAUGUUUGCAGCAGAAAAAGUAAUCAAAUCACUAGCCACUUCGGAUUUUCCCAAAAGUAGAUGAGUCAUUCCUAACUCAUUGGAGGAGGGAAGCAUCUUUCAUCUUUGCAAAAAAACCCACCUUUCUUAUUUUAUAUAACAUAAUUUGUCUCAUCUUCUGUAUGUAAGCUCUCAUAUUUGAAUUCAGAGGUCCUAAUAGCAAGUUAAAACUAUGCAACAUGUCCCUUGGGUAUUUCAUAGGCAUCAUCUCCACACAACUAGUUAAGAAUUUUUAUGUCUCUCUGUCACAUUUCAUUUUGACCUUCAAUUUUUAAUUUGAAUUCUUAUAAAUAGAAGCAAAAAUGCAUGACAGGAAAGGGAGAAACAGAGAAGCAAGGGGAUUUAUGCAUGUGGGUAGUCGCCUCUUGGUGUUUCUGUUCUGAAGAGGAGAUUUCCCUGUUUUUUUUUUUUUAAAUGGGAAAAAGAGGACAGAAUGUGGAGAUUCAAGAGUGUGCAGUGGAGUUUGGAUUUACUCUCACGUGUCCUGAUGUGCCGUCACCAUGCUUUUGCGCUCCGUGGAAGAAAUUGC